Long non-coding RNA from Neofelis nebulosa (Clouded leopard), 1078 nucleotides. RefSeq lists it as uncharacterized. The transcript is spliced from 5 exons. The record is from RefSeq and is a predicted model, not a curated record. Lineage: Eukaryota; Metazoa; Chordata; Mammalia; Carnivora; Felidae.
CAGCAGUGACAGCUGUGUCUUUCAGCCCUUGAAGGGUACACCAGCGUUUCAGGAUUGAUUAUAGUAGUACAGGGUGAGGGUAUCCUCGUUACAGUCCCGGGCUGGUUUCACUGGCACCUAAGCCCCUUCUAGAAUCCUAUGCCUCGUCCACUAAGUGCAAGACCAGGGCUGCCUCCGUCCGUCCUCUUAAAGACAUUGUUUCCCAGGUAUCCCUGCACCAGAUGUGGCUUCAGGACUCCCUUCUCACGGGAGAAACAAGAGUGGAAAUAACACUCGAACGUCUGGGUGCUGCCAGUGUUGCUGGUCCAAGGACCACGCUUUGAGGACCACCGUCUUAGGGGAUUCACUCGGGGGACAUCCUCCUGCUGGAAACCCAGGUUGGAAAAACGCCACCGUAUCCCUCGGGAGUAUCGCCAGUGCCUUCCAGCACCGACAGUCGAAGGUUCUUCUGCAUAUCUGACCUGAAUCUCUGCUGCUGCGUUGCUCCUCGGCCAGGGUGGAGACAGUCCGAGGAUUCCAGGGACCCCACUGCCGAAGCCAAACCUCUAAAAAAGCUCCACUGCACCACCUCCCUCGUAUCGCUGCUUGAUAAAGAAACCGAGGCUAGAGAGCAGAGGAAACGACUCAUCCAAGGUCACACAGACAAGACCCAGACAUUUGAUGGUCCCUGAGAGGGAAGAUCCCACAGCCGAGCCACAGAGGACAGAAGCCACGUUAGCUCUGACACCCGCCAACUCGGGCUCCCCUUCUCUCUGCGGAGCCCCUGGGGCCCCGCCCCUACCAGAUGCUUUCAGAUGCUUCUCUACCCGCUGCAAGGAAUCUGCUCACCUCUCCUGAGCCAGGGAAGCGUGCCCAGGGGAUCUCUGCAUAUGAUCUGGAACAAGUUCCCUCCUCUCUGAGCCUCUGUCUCCCUGUCUGUAAAGGGGGAGGGCUGGGCUAGAAUUCGGGGUCCCCCAAGCGCAGGCCCAUCUGAGCCAGGUGAGGAAUGCAUAGUAGACACCGUGAUUCACCUGGCAGGAGAGUCACUCUUGCCUUCGCCCCCUUCCUCUCCUGGCCCCCCAGCCAUCUGACACUUGCC